AGAGUUUGAUCAUGGCUCAGGACGAACGCUGGCGGCGUGCCUAAUACAUGCAAGUCGAGCGGAUGCUUCGGCAUCAGCGGCGGACGGGUGAGUAACACGUGGGUAACCUGCCGUCAAGACGGGUAUAACGCCUGGAAACGGGUGCUAAUCCCCGAUAGGUUCCUGGAUCGCAUGGUCUGGGAAGGAAAGGCGCGUUUGCG
RNAcentral lists this ribosomal RNA (200 nucleotides) under uncultured bacterium. RNAcentral's name for it is "partial 16S ribosomal RNA". It matches the Rfam family "Bacterial small subunit ribosomal RNA", at positions 8 to 214 of the family's 1533-position model. The record is from RNAcentral.